GACGAACGCUGGCGGCGUGCCUAAUACAUGCAAGUAGAACGCUGAAGGAGGAGCUUGCUUCUCUGGAUGAGUUGCGAACGGGUGAGUAACGCGUAGGUAACCUGCCUGGUAGCGGGGGAUAACUACUGGAAACGAUAGCUAAUACCGCAUAAUAGUAGAUGUUGCAUGACAUUUCCUUAAAAGGUGCAAUUGCAUCACUACCAGAUGGACCUGCGUUGUAUUAGCUAGUUGGUGGGGUAACGGCUCACCAAGGCGACGAUACAUAGCCGACCUGAGAGGGUGAUCGGCCACACUGGGACUGAGACACGGCCCAGACUCCUACGGGAGGCAGCAGUAGGGAAUCUUCGGCAAUGGACGGAAGUCUGACCGAGCAACGCCGCGUGAGUGAAGAAGGUUUUCGGAUCGUAAAGCUCUGUUGUAAGAGAAGAACGAGUGUGAGAGUGGAAAGUUCACACUGUGACGGUAUCUUACCAGAAAGGGACGGCUAACUACGU
RNAcentral lists this ribosomal RNA (494 nucleotides) under uncultured bacterium. Its description in RNAcentral is "partial 16S ribosomal RNA". It matches the Rfam family "Bacterial small subunit ribosomal RNA", at positions 28 to 506 of the family's 1533-position model. The record is from RNAcentral.